GGCAGGGGGACCAUCGGGAUGGAAACAGGUGUUCACUGCUAUCAGCUGCAAUGACUGCAUUAACUUUUCUCUCCCGUGGAGUUCCCCCAGUUUCAGUUCCACCCUUUUCAAGGAGACAUAACAGCUGUCAGUCAAAGAGCCCCGCCUCCCAAUCUUCUACCAGACUGUUCCAUGACAGCCGUAACUGCCCUGGACACCUGCCCUGAUCCAGAAGAUAUCUACCGGGACCACAGCAUCUUGAAAAUGAACUAAG
RNAcentral lists this long non-coding RNA (253 nucleotides) under Cavia porcellus (domestic guinea pig). RNAcentral's name for it is "lncRNA (ENSCPOG00000036187.1)". The record is from RNAcentral. Lineage: Eukaryota; Metazoa; Chordata; Mammalia; Rodentia; Caviidae.